This 477-nucleotide ribosomal RNA is filed under the name uncultured bacterium. RNAcentral's name for it is "partial 16S ribosomal RNA". It matches the Rfam family "Bacterial small subunit ribosomal RNA", at positions 30 to 507 of the family's 1533-position model. The record is from RNAcentral.
AUUGAACGCUGGCGGCAUGCCUUACACAUGCAAGUCGAACGGUAACAGGUUAAGCUGACGAGUGGCGAACGGGUGAGUAAUGUAUCGGAACGUGCCCAGUCGUGGGGGAUAACUGCUCGAAAGAGCAGCUAAUACCGCAUACGACCUGAGGGUGAAAGCGGGGGAUCGCAAGACCUCGCGCGAUUGGAGCGGCCGAUAUCAGAUUAGGUAGUUGGUGAGGCAAAGACUCACCAAGACGACGACCUGUAGCUGCUCUGAGAGGACGAGCAGCCAUUCUGGUACUGAGAGACGGCCCAGACUCCUACGGGAGGCAGCAGUAGGGGAUUUUGGACAAUGCGCGCAAGCCUGAUCCAGCCAUCCCGCGUGCGGGAAGAAGGCCUGCGGGUUGUAAACCGCAUUUGUCAGGGAAGAAAAGGUUCUGGCUAAUACCUGGGACUCAUGACGGUACCUGAAGAAUAAGCACCGGCUAACUACAUG